This 3775-nucleotide long non-coding RNA is filed under the name Cricetulus griseus (Chinese hamster). Its description in RNAcentral is "lncRNA (ENSCGRG00015042139.1)". Lineage: Eukaryota; Metazoa; Chordata; Mammalia; Rodentia; Cricetidae. The record is from RNAcentral.
GGAGUGGGGCAUGAAAGCCAAGUUUAUCCUUCCAAGCCAUUAAUCAGAUUAUGUGGCUUCUUCUCCCCCAGGGCCAGAUGUGGUUUGGGUGCAGAGGUGGGAGAAAGCUCCAUGAAGCAGGCGUGAGAUCUCAUGCACAGCUGGCACAAACAAACAUCUCUAGAUGAAGAGCUGUCACUGAAGACCAAACAUGGAGCAGAUGUAUUCUUAACUUCUACAUGGUCCCUGGCUUUAAUGAACAAAGGAAUGAACAAAAGAUCUGAAGUACAACUUCAGUGAACACAAAGUUCAGAAGGCUGUGAAAGGAAGCCAUGGUUCAGACAUUGGCAGGAAAGCCAAUAAGGUUCUAACCUGUGGAGAGACCCCAGAGGUUCCUCCUCUCCUUCAGGAUAACCAGAAGAGAAAGAAGUUGUCUUGAUGUGGGGAAGAAGCAAAGAAAUGAAAACUGGGGCUGGGCAUUUUUCCCUACCCCUCAAUUUGAACAGUGCCUUUUAUUUCAUUUCUGCUUCUUCCCUACUGAUUUGGCCAUCAGGAAGGACAACAGAGCUGACCUUGGAGGACAUGGGCCAGGAGAUCUAAGAUGAGAUUCCCAGGACUGCUACCUAGGUCCAACUUAGACUCUGAGAACCAAGGAAAAUGAACCUCACCCAAGUUCCUAGGUGGCAACUGAGGACCAGCCCACUGGGAGGCCAGCUGGGGUCCCAAGCCUGGUUAUUCAAAGUAUGGGCUCUAGAACAACAGCCCUGGCAUCAUCUGGAGUGUUUAGGAUGUAGAAGCUCAACUCCCAGUCCCCACUUAACACAUUAGACCUCUGGGUGCUUUUGGCGAGCAUAAAAUCUUGAGAAGUACAUCUCAGAGAACCCGAGGCAAGGUCAAGGAUCAGUCAGGGUUGGUUGAGGGACUGAACCUCAGUAGGGUUGGGAGUGAGAGCAGGUCAGAAGGGAGAGAAAUACUUGAAGCUGUCUCCACGAGCUGUGGGUAUAUGGUUAUGUGGUAUGCAGGUAUAUCUAGACUCUAAAAGGGGUUUGAAUUCUCCAGUCAGCCUUCUCUGAGACUGUAAAAGACAGGGGCCCAUCUUCCUCCUUCAUCUGUUCCAGACCUACCCAGACAUCUCAGAGCUCCAAGAUAUGUACUCAUUCUUUGUUGAACUGAAUGGGGUCCCCCAGAAAUCCCACUAGUCAUAUAUCCUGAGUUUAUGAUCAUAGAGAGUCACCUUUGAUUCUGCAUCUCCCCCAGGAAUCUCUUGGUGUAAUAAGUAUGCUUGGGUGUUUUCUGUAGCACAAAUCAAAGCAAAACAAAAUACCCUGCUGGGUCACAGCAGAUCCAGCACCACAUCCCCCGAGAGUUCAGGCGGUGUCCAAAGAACUCAUCAUGAGAGCUGACCUGCUAAUGUGUGAUUUCUGCAAAAGGGCCAACGAACCUGCUGGCUCCCAUGACGGCUGUCUGGAAAGUCAGUGCCCAGGCGCCAAAUCCAGAGGUGCGCUUUGUACUUGGAGAGACAGAAUGGCCAGCCACCUCGAGGCUUCAGGAGCUGGAUCAGUGCACAGCAGCCUCCAACUGGCAAGAGUUAAUGCUAAGGUGCAGCUGCAGGAAUGUGAAGCUGGAGAGCUAGCUCGGGGAAUUGCUAUUGCAAUCAGAGGACAGCCCAAGUCAGAGUUCCAAAACCCUUUGAAGGGCUGCCAGCUCGGACACAUGUCUCCAAUUAUCAUAUGCAAUCUUGAGGCAGUGUGCAAGCUGCACUUUCAUUAUGUCAAAGUGAAAGGAGUGGUGAGGGAGAGAUAAAGUGGGGAGAGGCCGCCAGGCCGGAGACUGCUUCGCUGUGGCACCAAAUGUCAGCCCGGGUGCAGAGUGAGCCUCCAACGUAUGUCUGUCCGGGAGCCCGAGGUGUGUGGCUCCUACUCUGAGAGCCUUUGUUUUCUUUCUUUCAUUCUGAGGAUGGAGGAGAACCAGCUGACAGCCACAGGAGGCCCUGUCUCUAGGAAACUUGACCAUCUCUUUGGUAUUGGAUCUGACCACAGAUAAGAUUCUGUGGAAACUUCCCAGGGACAUCCACUGUGUCCAGCCACAGGCUUUCAGCCGCCCAGUGUAAAAGGAGCUGUGCUUUGCCAGCAUUUGCAGAGAGGACUGAGAGAGCCAGCCUCAGGACUCAGCUCUGCUGUCAGCAUCCCCGAACUUGUCCCAUUACAGAGGGCUGCUUCCUCUCCACCAUGGGCAGCUGAUGACUUUGGCUCUGUGUGGCCCAGUGCCUGCAACUGUUCUGUUCCUGCCUUUAGUAGGAAGACCAUGAGGUCAACACUGAGGACAGGUUGGAGGAUGUCUUCAGAUGAAAGAAGGUGCCAAAGAGAAGAGGGAAACCAAGGUAGAAAAAUCUUAGGAAGAAACGGAUGAAAAAGCAUGGAAUGGGCUUCUCUAUGAACACAAUGGAAUAUUUGGAGCUGCCUUUUCCUUAUGCUCAAGGGGUUGGGACCCUGGCCGUGCAGUGACCUCUCGGGGAAGCCAAGAUAGACUGCUAGCUGGAACUUCCCCCCACACAGGGGAAGAGUUCAAGCUGUGGAAAGGCCCUGGCCUGAGGUGGGUUUGGACUGCUUACACUCUGACCAGCCAAACUGAUAGCUCCUUGUGCUGUGUGAAAACACUGGCUUCCACAUUGUGACUGCAGUGUUCACCGAGAGCACAGUUUGCCUUUGGGGGAGCAAUGGUGCUGUGGUGGCAGGGAGGCUGUUUCUACCAGUAACUGUAGAACUUCUUUCCUGGAAAUUGGGUGCCCUCAAUGGGUCUCCAUUAGAGAUUCAGGUGACACGUUAGCCCUGUUAGCAGGCCAGGGAGCCAACGGCGUUUUUCAGAUAUCCCAAAGAGUCUGACAGUACUGGGGCAUGGCUCUCUACAAGUGGCUUUACUGGUGUAGCCACUCAGAGGCACAGCUGCUCUGCCUAAAAGCUUCCAGAAUGUCUCCCUCGCCAGCACUGUCUUCACAUCCAGGACUUAGCAGCUCUGUGUGCCCCUAGGAGAAAGACCUUUAGAACCUAUCUCUUCACAAGAGGGGCCUGGGACUUCUGAGGCCAUGGAAUAGGAACCCUGCAAAACCCACAGACACCGGCUAGUGGGAGGACUCCCUUUAUCUGACAAAGCAUCUCAGCACGGAAUGUUCUGGGACAAAAUUGAGGCUUGAGGGAAGCAACCACAACAACAAAAAAAACAAGAUGAAGGGGAUGGUGACUACAUCCUGCUCUGUGGAGGAUUCUGCAGUCUCUCUGUUACCUUUGCUGCUCUUAAGACAGUGGUCAUGAGUACAUUCUGUCUGUUUCCUUUCCUAUUUAGAGGAAAGGAAAGCAGCUGUGCCCACCUGACUUGGCCCCUCUCCCCUCCAUCUUCCUGGGCUUAUUUGUGUUAGUCUUACUAUGUUUGUCUUUAUCUGUUCUAUAGCAACCCUCGUCUCUACAGGUCUUAAUGGUCCCAGCUAGUUCUGGUCACUUGUGGAAAACGUCUCAGGAAGAAUAAAAAGUUUUCAAAAGUUCACUUCUGACUGGUUACUGACUUUCUAGUUGGAAGCAGAUGCUGGGGUACUAGGCCACUGACAGUUGCUGCUAGAGCUGUUUGUGGGUGGCAAGAAGUUUGGAAGCCUUACUGUUUUCUUGGGGUAGGGAUGCCUUUCUACAGGAAGCCACAGGGGAAUAAUGGAGAGGCAGCCAUCAUUGUUAAGGUAAUCUUAACAUGAAAUCAGAUAUGCCAUGACAGGCCUCAGGAGAUGAUUUUGUUACAGCUCCUUCAGACUGCC